AGCGAACGCUGGCGGCAGGCCUAACACAUGCAAAUCGAACGAACUCUUCGGAGUUAGUGGCGGACGGGUGAGUAACACGUGGGAACGUGCCUUUUGGUUCGGAAUAACUCAGGGAAACUUGUGCUAAUACCGAAUGUGCCCUUCGGGGGAAAGAUUUAUCGCCAUUAGAGCGGCCCGCGUCUGAUUAGCUAGUUGGUGAGGUAACGGCUCACCAAGGCGACGAUCAGUAGCUGGUCUGAGAGGAUGACCAGCCACACUGGGACUGAGACACGGCCCAGACUCCUACGGGAGGCAGCAGUGGGGAAUCUUGCGCAAUGGGCGAAAGCCUGACGCAGCCAUGCCGCGUGAAUGAUGAAGGUCUUAGGAUUGUAAAAUUCUUUCACCGGGGACGAUAAUGACGGUACCCGGAGAAGAAGCCCCGGCUAACUUCGUG
RNAcentral lists this ribosomal RNA (433 nucleotides) under uncultured bacterium. Its description in RNAcentral is "partial 16S ribosomal RNA". It matches the Rfam family "Bacterial small subunit ribosomal RNA", at positions 29 to 507 of the family's 1533-position model. The record is from RNAcentral.